AAAUCAAUGAAGUAGAGUUUAUCUGGAUGUUUAGGAGAUGAAUGAAAAGAUCAAUAUGAAAAACAACUAUCAACAGUACACAAUAAAGCAAAUUUUCAGCAAUAUAUUAUUUCCUCUGUGCAAAUUGGGCACCAUUUCAGGAACCAAUCCACAAGAAUUUCAGCGUCUUUCAGUUCACCAUAUUAGACAUAUUAUGAGCUAUAACGCGGGCAAAGCACCAAAAACACACCAGUAUUCUCAUAAAAUACCAAUGAGCAAUGGAAAGAUCAAAGUAACCCCUAAGAUAGAUCACAAAGAAAUUAUUAUGUUCGAGUGAAAUCCAUGCCAUCAAUUGACCAGAAAAGUUCAACUGAGAAAAGUGCAUUCAUUAUAACCCAGAUUUUUAGCAUAGAUUAGUGAACAAUGCAGACAACCUCUACAUAUUUGCUCUUUCAUUGAUUGCCCUUCUUCAUAUGUCAUGCCUACUCAUACUUGACAUAGCUUAUAUGGGUACAGCAGACUGAAAAUCUGUUGGCCAUGACCCUGCAUUAAUAAUCUACUACCUAAAAAAUCCAUCAAGUAUGAUAUUGAUAUGUACUUGUGUACCAGUACUAGCUACACUCGCAUCACAUUACCAUUUGAGUUUACUAGUGGCAUAC
RNAcentral lists this unclassified non-coding RNA (638 nucleotides) under Hevea brasiliensis (rubber tree). The record is from RNAcentral. Lineage: Eukaryota; Viridiplantae; Streptophyta; Magnoliopsida; Malpighiales; Euphorbiaceae.